This 84-nucleotide transfer RNA is filed under the name Felis catus (domestic cat). It matches the Rfam family "tRNA". From Rfam's summary of the family: Transfer RNA (tRNA) molecules are approximately 80 nucleotides in length. Their secondary structure includes four short double-helical elements and three loops (D, anti-codon, and T loops). The record is from Rfam by way of RNAcentral. Lineage: Eukaryota; Metazoa; Chordata; Mammalia; Carnivora; Felidae.
GCCUGGGUGGCUCAGUCGUUGAGCAUCUGACUUCGGCUCAGGUCACGAUCUCACAGUCUGUGAGUUCGAGCCCCGCGUCAGGCU